Non-coding RNA from Camelina sativa (false flax), 420 nucleotides. The record is from RefSeq and is a predicted model, not a curated record. Lineage: Eukaryota; Viridiplantae; Streptophyta; Magnoliopsida; Brassicales; Brassicaceae.
ACGGCGAUUUGACCUACUCUUUCGUUCGUCUCUGAUUUAUAAGCUAUUUGUGGAUUGAUUUUUUUUUUUUCUAGUUCGAUCUUAGUUUUUCUAUUGGGAUUUCUAGGUUUUUUUAUUGUUGUAGUUGAGUGAGCAUCGGUGAUGAAUCCACGAAAAAAUUGUUAUCCUUGCACUUUGAUUGCUAGUGAAGAAACAAAUGGGGUUUUCAACUUCUGAGAUGCUCUUUUUUUUUUUUGGUUUGUUUUUGUGUCUUUGAUGAUGAUGAUUCAAUGUUUGGAUUGUGUUUUGUAUUUGGUUUGAUUUGUUUUAGGAUUGGAUCGAUGAUUUGUUAGUUUAAAAUACUGCGUUAUCUUUCUGCAAAUCUCCUCUUAAGGAUUUUGAAGAAGAACAAUAAAAAGCUGAGAUCCAAUUGUUUUUAAA